RNAcentral lists this transfer RNA (73 nucleotides) under Trichonephila inaurata madagascariensis. RNAcentral's name for it is "tRNA-Cys". It matches the Rfam family "tRNA". Rfam says of the family: Transfer RNA (tRNA) molecules are approximately 80 nucleotides in length. Their secondary structure includes four short double-helical elements and three loops (D, anti-codon, and T loops). The record is from RNAcentral. Lineage: Eukaryota; Metazoa; Arthropoda; Arachnida; Araneae; Nephilidae.
GGGGUGUAUAGCUCAGUGGUAGAGCAUUCGACCGCAGAUCGGGAGGUCUCCGGUUCAAUCCCGGGUGUCCCUU